AUUGAACGCUGGCGGCAUGCCUUACACAUGCAAGUCGAACGGUAACGCGGGGCAACCUGGCGACGAGUGGCGAACGGGUGAGUAAAGUAUCGGAACGUGCCCAAUAGUGGGGGAGUAGCCCGGCGAAAGCCGGAUUAAUACCGCAUGAGACCUGAGGGUGAAAGCGGGGGACGUCGCAAGAGCCUCGCGCUGUUGGAGCGGCCGAUAUCAGAUUAGGUAGUUGGUGGGGUAAAGGCCUACCAAGCCGACGAUCUGUAGCUGGUCUGAGAGGACGACCAGCCACACUGGGACUGAGACACCGGCCCAGACUCCGUAC
Molecule: ribosomal RNA, 316 nt
Filed under: uncultured bacterium
Lineage: Bacteria
Description: bacterial SSU rRNA
Rfam family: Bacterial small subunit ribosomal RNA
Source: RNAcentral